CAGCCCUACGGGACGCAGCAGUAGGGAAUCUUCCACAAUGGGCGAAAGCCUGAUGGAGCCCCGCCGCGUUUGUGAAGCAGGUCUUCGGAUCGUAAAACCCUGUUGUUAGAGAAGAAAGUGCGUGAGAGUAACUGUUCACGUUUCGACGGUAUCUAACCAGAAAGCCACGGCUAACUACGUGCCAGCAGCCGCGGUAAUACGUAGGUGGCAAGCGUUAUCCGGAUUUAUUGGGCGUAAAGGGAACGCAGGCGGUCUUUUAAGUCUGAUGUGAAAGCCUUCGGCUUAACCGGAGUAGUGCAUUGGAA
Molecule: ribosomal RNA, 305 nt
Filed under: uncultured bacterium
Lineage: Bacteria
Description: bacterial SSU rRNA
Rfam family: Bacterial small subunit ribosomal RNA
Source: RNAcentral